Long non-coding RNA from Zophobas morio, 959 nucleotides. RefSeq lists it as uncharacterized. NCBI's taxonomy places the organism in Eukaryota, Metazoa, Arthropoda, Insecta, Coleoptera, Tenebrionidae. The record is from RefSeq and is a predicted model, not a curated record. The transcript has 3 exons.
GUGUCUGAUAAUACACGUCAUAACAUCCAGGAAGUGUGAAGGAAGUAUACGAUAAGACAAGUUUUCCUUAAAUCGUAAUGCAGUGCAAAAUGCUGAAAGGUGUUAUAAGUGUUUUGCUUCCAUUAAUUAUUUUUUUACACAAAAACACUCAUGGUUUGGAAUGUUAUGUCACAAACACAAACUCAUCACUAAAAGGGGAAUUCGUUUUACAAGAUUGUACAAAAUAUUUACAAAAUGUAUUUGAAAGCAAAGGUGCUCAUUACGUGACAGUACCACCUAAAACACAAUACAACUGCCACACAUUGUAUGUUCACACAGAAGCAACAGAUGUUAGAUUGAAAGGAUGUAUUCCGAAAGGUGAUUGCCAGUCGAGGGCAAAAUCAAGGCAAGAGAAGAUACAAUUGGGAAAUCUUCAUUCAAAAAUUGUAAAUACCCGUUGCGUUGAGUGUUCCACAGAUCGAUGCAAUGACGACAAUUCGUCUCCUCAGCAUUUCGUAAAUUUUUUAGUAACAAUAAUUCCAUUGGCAGUGCUUGUAUGGACACAUAUCUGAACAAAAGAGAAAAAAAACGAUCUAUGACGUCAGGAACAUGAAGUUACUCAAAUUACAGAAUCUUACCAGGUAUCUAUAAUACUCACUUUCCUGACGUCUAGUGUUCCAACGAAAGCAGUGGUUUUAUGAUUUUGAAUUUACAAAAUCGGUUGUUUCCGAACAAAGAGCAUCAUAAACGAAUAUCACUAAAGAUAAGCCGAUUCUGUUUAGAAGAAGCGUACCAACCAAACACAACGAACAACUGCCAUUAAGUUUAAGCUGCAUCUAUUGCUCGUGGUAUCAAGCGUGGUGAGGGAGUUAAAAUCGUAAGCCACUCCUCUCAUCGUUGCACUAUAACCAGUACUCAUAUGUAUAUAAAUGUUUCUGUAAUUAAACAUUUUUCAUGAAUAAACAUCACUUUCUUUCUUA